This 490-nucleotide ribosomal RNA is filed under the name uncultured bacterium. RNAcentral's name for it is "partial 16S ribosomal RNA". It matches the Rfam family "Bacterial small subunit ribosomal RNA", at positions 30 to 507 of the family's 1533-position model. The record is from RNAcentral.
AUUGAACGCUGGCGGCAGGCCUAACACAUGCAAGUCGAACGGUAACAGGAAGAAGCUUGCUUCUUUGCUGACGAGUGGCGGACGGGUGAGUAAUGUCUGGGAAACUGCCUGAUGGAGGGGGAUAACUACUGGAAACGGUAGCUAAUACCGCAUAACGUCGCAAGACCAAAGAGGGGGACCUUCGGGCCUCUUGCCAUCGGAUGUGCCCAGAUGGGAUUAGUUAGUAGGUGGGGUAACGGCUCACCUAGGCGACGAUCCCUAGCUGGUCUGAGAUGAUGACCAGCCACACUGGAACUGAGACACGGUCCAGACUCCUACGGGAGGCAGCAGUGGGGAAUAUUGCACAAUGGGCGCAAGCCUGAUGCAGCCAUGCCGCGUGUAUGAAGAAGGCCUUCGGGUUGUAAAGUACUUUCAGCGGGGAGGAAGGGAGUAAAGUUAAUACCUUUACUCAUUGACGUUACCCGCAGAAGAAGCACCGGCUAACUCCGUG